This 487-nucleotide ribosomal RNA is filed under the name uncultured bacterium. Its description in RNAcentral is "partial 16S ribosomal RNA". It matches the Rfam family "Bacterial small subunit ribosomal RNA", at positions 899 to 1397 of the family's 1533-position model. The record is from RNAcentral.
ACUCAAAGGAAUUGACGGGGGAUCGCACAAGCGGUGGAGCAUGUGGUUUAAUUCGACGCUAAACGGAGAACCUUACCAGGUCUUGACAUCUUCCGAAAGCCCUAGAAAUAGGGCCGUGCCCGCAAGGGAACGGAAUGACAGGUGUUGCACGGCUGCCGUCAGCUCGUGGCGUGAGCUGUGCCCUUAAGUGGGUAAACGAGCGAAACCCUCGCCAUCUGUUGAAUUUUUCAGAUGGGACUGCCCUCAUUCGGGGGAGGAAGGUGGGGAUGACGUCAAGUCAGCGUGGCCCUUACGACCUGGGCUACACACAUGCUACAAUGGCGCGCACAAAGGGUUGCAAAGUCGCGAGACGGAGCUAAUCCCAUCAAAACGCGCCUCAGUUCGGAUUGCAGGCUGCAACUCGCCUGCAUGAAGCUGGAAUCGCUAGUAACCGUGGGUCAGCUAUACCACGGUGAAUACGUUCUCGAUCCUUGUACACACCGCCCGU